Molecule: ribosomal RNA, 114 nt
Filed under: uncultured bacterium
Lineage: Bacteria
Description: partial 16S ribosomal RNA
Rfam family: Bacterial small subunit ribosomal RNA
Source: RNAcentral
GGCGUAAAGCGCAUGCAGGUGGCUCGAUAAGUUGGCUGUGAAAUCUCCUGGCUCAACUGGGAGAGGCCGGUCAAGACUGUCGGGCUAGAAGGCUGUAGAGGGGGGUAGAAUUUC